CUGAAAUAUCUUUUAUUGUAAACAAAAACAAGGCUCAUUAGAAAAAUAUGUAUUUGCUGGACUAUGGCACAAGAACAAUAAGACACCAUGACUAAAGGAUUAUUGACGUGAAGCCCGAGACAGACUAAACAAACUUGAUUAACAUUUUCUUUUUUUAAUCCUGCUCCACCUCUUAAUAAGUGAGACAACCGCUCCUGCAAACAGGUUGAGCAAGAGAGCAUGUCAGGAAGACGCCCUCUAGCGUGCGUUAAGAAAGGUGCAAAGACAGAAACGGAUCUGGUUCCUUUGUAAGCUUAAAUAAGCUGAUGGUUGAUAUACAUCACAACAAAAUAAAUUGAGAUCAAAAGUCUACACACCCCUGUUCAAAGGCCAGGCUUUUGUGAUAUAUAAAAAAAUGAGACCAGAAAUCUUUUCUAGACGGGAUGUAAAACAAAGGCAUGACCUAAUGGGUUUGCAUAAGAGUGUACACCUGUCCUACUUCCCUUUUUAAGAUAUUUAUUUCUUCCUAGUUGAGUUGGGGAGGUUAUCGGAGGUCACAUUAAUUCAUAAACAUUUUUUUUUUUAAAAAUCACAAAAACCUUCCAUUUUCCAUGUGCGUGUUUAAAUACUGUACACAUUUUUUUUUUAAAGCACAGUCUACUCUGAGAAACGUUUAGGGUGUCUCGUAUGUCGGAAAACUUGGGAUUCCUGUUUGUCUGAAAAAAUUGAAAAACUAUAGGGUCCUCGCAGCAUUCACUAAAGUAUGUUUUAAAUAACACCCACACCCACAGGUGAAAUAUUCAAAUAUCAUAUUUACAGGAAGACAUGAGUUAUUUUUUGCCUUGAAUGUUGCAACUUCCUGUGGACCAUGUGACUUGUAGAAUAUUAUAUGUUCAAGGGGGGGGGGGGGGUAAUGUUGGUUUUUUUAACAUAAUGUAUAAUGGCAAAAAGAGGUAAAUACGUAAAUUUAUGUUGUGGUAGACCUCAGUACCAGACCUUUCACUUAAAUUUAUGUUGUGGCGGACCUCAGUACAAGGACUCUCACCAUGCAGGCCUACAGUUAAAGCUGGGGUGAUAUGUUUGUCUUUGUGAUGUCCUGCUUUUUGUUGAUUUGAUGAAUUGUCUCUAGCCACAGUUGUUGGCACAGUCAUGGAAUGAAGACGUGUUCCUCAUUUCUGUCAAAAUGCAAUGAUAUUUCAUGGUGGUUUUGUAUAUGGGGGCAGGCAACAAAUUCUCCUUUUUCAGUGUUCAAUGUAGUUUAUAUACAUUUCUUAAUUUUUUUAAUAUGAAGCCAGAUCAACAUGGAUAUUUCCUGAGUAAUAAUAAUAAAACAGUUUUUACAGUUUACAUUUAAUUUCCUGGAAAUGCAAAAGGCACCAAUUUGAUGGAUUGUGCCGUUUGCAACAUUUUCUCUCGGAUAAAAUGUUUUUUUUGGAACGUUAUGUUCGACCGGUUUCCACGAAAAUUAAAAUGUCUACAACUAUCAUUUAUUGUUUUUGUUUUUUUGCAGUGGUACAAAUAUUGUCAAUCUGUAGUCCUAAAAGGUUGAAUAAUUUAAAAGAACAUGGUCUUAUUGUUAUCUUCAAACUUUCAUCAUGCCAUUAAAAGUCUAGCAUGGGAUCGAUGGCCUAGCCCUAAAAAUAAAUGAGGCUGCACUGUCCUUUGUGCAAGCUUAAACAAAGCACUUUAAUUGCCUUGUCAUGUAUCCAAGGUUGACUCCCUGUACAUUUUGGCUUGCCUGCUGCUCCAACCAGUCAGAUAUCAUUCCUACAUCAGGCACGGUGAGCUAAGUGCCCCCUGGCUAAACGGCACAUCUUGCAUUUGAAGACUCCCAAGGAGAUCAGGUUUUUUUCUUUUUUUUUUUUUUGGUCCAUCCAAAAUGAAAACACUUCCUGGAUCUAUUCUGGGGACAAAAAAGUGAGAUAAAUCCAAUUUAUUCGUGUCUGCGGAAGGGUGUGGCCCACUAUGAGGGGUUGGAAAACUGUGUUUAGAGAGGAAAAUCUUGAAACUGAGCACGUGUGAACGGUUCUAUGACAUUUAAGCUUAAACUGGCUUAAAUGAUUUCCUUGUGACCUCCCUGACUCCUUACCGGUUCUUCCUGAAGUGAGAUGCCUCAGGUCUUUUUUGCACCUCAUAGAAAAAAAACUUGCAUCAAAUUAAAGGCAUCUAGUAAGUACACAGAGGAAGUUUUUUUUUUUUUCUUUUCAAAGUGCAUUUACAUAAUUUCUGGAUGGCGUGAAAGACAAGGACAGGAAAGGGGGGGGGGUGCACCUCCAGUGGGUGUGUCAUCUGUCGUGUCUCAACAUGGCAUGCUCGAGUUGAUAGACAGCUGCACUCGCACCUGAGCUGCCAAGGUGAGACACACGAGUGAAAAACACUCACCGCCGACCGUCUGUCUGUCCACCGACUUCUUCUCGGUCAUCAGGUAGUUUUCACAGCUGUUCUGUUGCCCGCACCGCUAGAAACUUUGCCUGGGAAUUUGUCGCCUGUAACAUUUCAGUCAUUGUUUCUGGUCGUGUGUGCAACGUGCAUCCAAGCCUGCAGAAAAAGUGGAUUUUUGGUUGUUUGUAAACAAACAGAAGUUUUCAGGUUGGGAUGCAAUGAUUGCCAAGUACAUCUAAAUGGACUACUCUGAGCAAAUAUUUUCCUUGUUUGAAAAUCUAAGCUAGCGCUUUAGUGGUGACAUACAUAAGGGCACAGUGGGUAUGGUUGUGGUGUUGCCACAUGCAAACCGCUCGUGAGUAUGUGUGGUAUGUUGGUGAACCAGCUCAACUUAAUGAUGAUGAUGGGUGUAACCUUUUCCCUUUACAGAGGCCUGAUUUUGUGACAAUGUUGUUAAUUAAAGAGCAGACUUAAGAGUUUGGGAUUUUUUUUAUUGUUAGUUUGUAAUUUACUUUGUUUUUAGAAUGGGUUUGUUGUUGUUCACUUAUCUGAAAAUGAUCCAUUUUAAUUUAGUUUUAGUUUGAGCUUUUCCCAAACGACUACUAACGCUUCUAUUCACCCGAACAGUAAUAGCCAAAUAAUUACAUUUAAAAUACUCCCAGGAAGCUCAUGUAGGAAGUUGAACAACACUAAAACGUAGGACAGUUUCACUAUUUUUAAUUUAAUAGAUGUUAAAUGUAUUUAUUUUGUUUGUUUUCCUUGUCAAUAAUAAGCUUGGAUAUAACUCCAUUACUAAUAUAAAUUUUGCAAAAGUUGGCAUUGUAAUAUUGCAUGUUUUGUUUUUAACAUUUGUCUUCACUGACCUAACAUGAUGUGCAUGCAAGAUGUUUAUAUUAACAAGAUAUUAGAGCAAACACACUACAUUACGGAGUUUAGAGUGAUCUUUAAUGUGUUUUAGGAUACAAGCAAGUUGAAAUUUAGAAUUACUUGAGGUAUACUGGAGGAGAUGAAGCGUAAUUAACACCGAGGAGAACGCCUAUUAAGUUUAAUAGAGGAUCGGAUAUUGUCACUUCGGUAUUUCUUGUUUCCACAAAGUUGAGAACGUCUUAGCCUUGUGUGAAGGGUUAUAAUUAGCGUGAUCAGAGUUUUACAUUCAUAUUAGGAUAGCAGAUUUUGGUGAGAUGAAACAAUGAGUUGGUUGAAUAUUGCGUGCAUUAAAUAUAAUUACAAUGUU
Molecule: long non-coding RNA, 3595 nt
Organism: Syngnathus acus (greater pipefish)
Lineage: Eukaryota; Metazoa; Chordata; Actinopteri; Syngnathiformes; Syngnathidae
Exons: 3
Source: RefSeq, a predicted model, not a curated record